UACGGGGGGGGCAAGCGUUGUUCGGAAUUACUGGGCGUAAAGGGCCAGUAGGCGGCCAACUAAGUCGGAUGUGAAAUCCCCAGGCUUAACCUGGGAACUGCAUCCGAUACUGGAUGGCUUGAAUUCGGGAGAGGGAUGCAGAAUUCCAGGUGUAGCGGUGAAAUGCGUAGAUAUCUGGAGGAACACCGGUGGCGAAGGCGGCAUCCUGGACCGAUACUGACGCUGAGGAGCGAAAGCCAGGGGAGCAAACGGG
This 253-nucleotide ribosomal RNA is filed under the name uncultured bacterium. RNAcentral describes it as "partial 16S ribosomal RNA". It matches the Rfam family "Bacterial small subunit ribosomal RNA", at positions 524 to 776 of the family's 1533-position model. The record is from RNAcentral.